RNAcentral lists this ribosomal RNA (409 nucleotides) under bacterium. RNAcentral describes it as "partial 16S ribosomal RNA". It matches the Rfam family "Bacterial small subunit ribosomal RNA", at positions 355 to 776 of the family's 1533-position model. The record is from RNAcentral.
UGGGGAAUAUUGCACAAUGGGCGAAAGCCUGAUGCAGCGACGCCGCGUGAGGGAUGACGGCCUUCGGGUUGUAAACCUCUUUCAGUAGGGACGAAGCGCAAGUGACGGUACCUGCAGAAGAAGCACCGGCUAACUACGUGCCAGCAGCCGCGGUAAUACGUAGGGUGCGAGCGUUGUCCGGAAUUACUGGGCGUAAAGAGCUCGUAGGCGGUUUGUCACGCCGUCUGUGAAAUCCUAGGGCUUAACCCUGGACGUGCAGGCGGUACGGGCAGACUUGAGUACUACAGGGGAGACUGGAAUUUCAGGUGUAGCGGUGGAAUGCACAGAUAUCAGGAAGAACACCGAUGGCGAAGGCAGGUCUCUGGGUAGUAACUGACGCUGAGGAGCGAAAGCAUGGGUAGCGAACAGG